RNAcentral lists this long non-coding RNA (848 nucleotides) under Equus caballus (horse). RNAcentral describes it as "lncRNA (ENSECAG00000051032.1)". The record is from RNAcentral. Lineage: Eukaryota; Metazoa; Chordata; Mammalia; Perissodactyla; Equidae.
GGACACUCCAAGCAGGGCUGGGUUCAUGGUAAUGCGACCUGUGCAUUCUCACAGGAACCCAGGCUUAGAAAGGCCCCACUCUUAGUUUAACGCUUUGCUGUUGCAAUCUUGAAUUUCUUAAUCAUUUUUAUAAAAGGGGCCUUGCAUUUUUAUUUUGCACUGGGCCUACAAGUUAGGUCGCCUGUCCCUGCUGCGAGGCUGCCUCUCAAGGUCGGCUGCAUCUGCCAUCCCCUCCUCAGGAGAGGGGGCUGCGGAUUUAAGUAAAGCCAGAAGCUCUCCUUGAAACAGAGUCGUCAUCCAAAGCUGGUGGGGGUUUUCCCGAGAUAUAUCUGGGUCUCCCAUGCAGAACUGGAAAAACAAAUAAAAGUUGCUCGCCGUGAUAAUUGGGAUCCAUUGAUUCAAAGGCCAAGACAGGCGCCACGCUAAUUAAUGGGGGAAGCGUCCUUCUUUUCCGCUCCACGUGGAUUUGGACUUCACUCUCAGAGGAAAAGUCAAGAGCCCCGUGUUUGACUCCAGAACGACUCCUGUGGGUGCAGGCUCGGCCGCGAGACAUUCGGGUGGAAAGCUGCUCAGGAUGCCUACCACGACGGAUUCUUAGGGUCUCCAAAUACCCCCUCUUGUAACCAAAAUGUCUUAGCUCAGAACGUUUUCAUGUUGUAGCUCUGCGUGUGUGCGUGUGUGUGUGUGAGUGAGAGUGUGUGUGAGUGUGCACCCACCCACUGGCUGUAUUCAGUGGAAAGAAGGCUCAUGGGCCAAAAGCCCAUUUGGGUUUGUUUGGGUGAGUAAGAAGUGACGGGAAUUCAGAGUGUACAAGAUUAUAAAUAUUACAGAGGUUAUUCAAAAUCUCA